GAUGAACGCUGGCGGCGUGCUUAACACAUGCAAGUCGAACGGUGAAGCCAAGCUUGCUUGGUGGAUCAGUGGCGAACGCGGGUGUAUCACGCGAGCAAACUGUCCUGGUCUCUGGGGUAAGCGCUGGAAACGGCGGCUAAUACUGGAUAUGAGCCUACUCCGCACGGGGGGGGUUGGAGAGAUUUUUUGGUCUGGGAUGGGCUCGCGGCCUAUCAGCUUGUUGGUGGGGUAAUGGCUCACCAAGGCGUCGACGGGUAGCCGGCCUGAGAGGGUGACCGGCCACACUGGGACUGAGACACGGCCCAGACUCCUACGGGAGGCAGCAGUGGGGAAUAUUGCACAAUGGGCGAAAGCCUGAUGCAGCAACGCCGCGUGAGGGAUGACGGCCUUCGGGUUGUAAACCUCUUUUGCCUGGGAAGAAGCGAGAGUGACGGUACCGGCAGAAAAAGCGCCGGCUAACUACGUG
Molecule: ribosomal RNA, 466 nt
Filed under: uncultured bacterium
Lineage: Bacteria
Description: partial 16S ribosomal RNA
Rfam family: Bacterial small subunit ribosomal RNA
Source: RNAcentral